CAUGGCCAGGAUUAUUUCAACCGCAAAUUAUUUCCAUCGAUACAGCUGCAGGCGGUGUGUGACCAUGCAGGGCGCUUCAUUGAUGUGUUUGUGGGUUAUCCAGGUUCUGUCCACGACGCCCGGGUCCUGAGGCACAGCCCCCUGUUCCAGUCUGCCGCGUACCCACCCCCUGAUACCUUCUUGUUGGGUGAUGGGGGGUACCCCUGUCUGAUGAGGCCCAUUUCCCUCAUCACACCAUACAAGAACCCACUCAGGGGAGUGGCACAACAGAGGUUUAACGCGCAUCAUGCCAGAGCUCGUUCGGUCAUUGAGCGGGCUUUUGGCAUGAUGAAGACCAGGUGGAGGUCCAUCUUUUUCUGUGCCUUGGAGGUGGACGUCUCAUUUGUGCCAGAUGUCAUUGUGUGUUGCACUAUGCUUCACAAUGUAUGUCUGGGCAAUGAUGAUGUCCUACCGGUGGAUGAGGAGGACCCUGAAGAGCCCGUCGGGGGAGAGGACCAUGGCGAAACAUCAAGUGGUGGUGCCCUGCGAGACAGCAUUGCAGAUCAGCUGUCCGCACUUCAGUGUCUUCCAUCGGGACACGAUUAUUGUUAAUAAAUUAUUAUAUAGUUCUUUGAUUAAUAAAUUAUUAUAUAGUUCUUUGAUUAAUAAAUUGUUAUGUAGUUCUUUGAUUGAUACAUUGUUAUAUAGUUCUUUGAUUGAUACAUUGUUAUAUUGUUCUUUGAUUGUAUAUUGUAAUUACAUUAAUUAAGUUAUAACACCGUUCAUGUCGUUGCAGGAACACGGACAGGAGCCUGAAAACACCGCACUCACUCCACCCACCCAACUCACUACACUCACUCACACAGAAAUGACCAAGGAGGGUGGUCGCUCCCUGAGCCUGGGCCCUCCCGAGGUUUCUUCCUACAUGGGAGUUUUCCCUCGUCACUGUUGCCCUUGUGCUUGCUUGGGGAGCUUUCCAAUAAAAUACACUUAUUUUAACUUAACUGAACUCUGUUGUUGUCUCAUCAUUUACAUGUACCUUUAAAAAAAAAAACACAAAGCUGUAAAUGGUAUUGUAAUUGUUAUUGUUUUUUAUUUUUCGGCCAACCGCUCCAUAAUAGCCAGAAGCUUAUCCAUUCUGAGUUCGGCCCUCUCCUGCCGCUCCAUCUCUCUCCGCUGCCUUUCCGCUUCAGAGGCCUCCGCCCUCUCCAUCAUCUCCCCCACAAAAGCCAUGUUGUACCUCCUCUUCCUCGGUGGUUCCUGGCUCUCCUCUCUCGGUGGUGGGGAGGACACACUUCUCUGUGGGGAGGACACGGCACCCAUAGAGUUGGGCUCUGCCAUGGAUGAGCUGCAGGGCAAAGAGGCACGCAGCACGGGUGGUGUGAU
Clupea harengus (Atlantic herring) is the source of this 1365-nucleotide long non-coding RNA. Lineage: Eukaryota; Metazoa; Chordata; Actinopteri; Clupeiformes; Clupeidae. The record is from Ensembl.